Molecule: ribosomal RNA, 492 nt
Filed under: uncultured bacterium
Lineage: Bacteria
Description: partial 16S ribosomal RNA
Rfam family: Bacterial small subunit ribosomal RNA
Source: RNAcentral
AGUGAACGCUGGCGGUAGGCCUAACACAUGCAAGUCGAACGGCCGCACAGUAAGAGCUUGCCCUUACGGUUGGCGACGGGCGGAUGGGUGAGGAAUACAUCGCAAUCUACUUUUUCGUGGGGGAUAUCGUAGGGAAAGUUCCGCUACUACCGCAUAUGACCUACGGGUGAAAGCAGGGGAUCUUCGCACCUUUCCCGUCUGAUUGAGCCGAUGCCGGAUUAGCUAGUUGGCUGGGUAAAGGCACACCAAGGCGACGAUCCGUAGCUGGUCUGAGAGGAUGAUCGGCCACACUGGAACUGAGACACGGUCCAGACUCCUACGGGAGGCAGCAGUGGGGAAUAUUGGGCAAUGGGCGCAAGCCUGACCGAGCCAUGCCGCGUGGGUGAUGAAGGCCUUCGGGUUGUAAAGCCCUUUUGUUGGGAAAGAAAAGCAGCAGGUUAAUACGCGGCUGUUCUGACGGUACCCAAAGAAAAAGCACCGGCUAACUUCGUG